Rattus rattus (black rat) is the source of this 128-nucleotide small nucleolar RNA. RefSeq annotates it as small nucleolar RNA SNORA17. The transcript has a single exon. Lineage: Eukaryota; Metazoa; Chordata; Mammalia; Rodentia; Muridae. The record is from RefSeq and is a predicted model, not a curated record.
CCUGUCCCUAGAGGCAUUGCAGGUGUGGCUGCUGUGUCACAUGUGUAGGUGACAGAGAGGAGAGAGGCUAUGUCUAUGCUCAGCGUUCUUACCUACGAACAUCUGAAUGAUUACAGUAGCCCAACGUU